AAAGCGGUAUGAUACUAUAUUAAUAUUGCCUAAGGAUGGCUUCCCAAGAGGAGAGGUGAAUUAGGUAUUUAAAAUUUAAACUUUAAUUAUGCUGAAUUUACUAUAAGGUGCUUAGUGGAAUAAGUUAAAACAUAAGUAAUGAAUAAGAACAAUGAAGAAAAGAUUAUACAAUCACAAACACAAUGCUUUUAUAGUGGUUCAGUGCCAAACUCGGUAUCUAUGUUCACUCCCUAAGUAAAUCACUUAAGAAUUCAACUAUAAUCAUUUAAUUGA
Molecule: long non-coding RNA, 273 nt
Filed under: Elaeis guineensis (African oil palm)
Lineage: Eukaryota; Viridiplantae; Streptophyta; Magnoliopsida; Arecales; Arecaceae
Description: long non-coding RNA (EGUI_LNC046080)
Source: RNAcentral